GGGAGGAGAGAAAAGCCAUGGCCGACAAGGUCCUGAAGGAGAAGAGAAAGCAGUUUAUCCGUUCAGUGGGCGAAGGUACAAUAAAUGGCUUACUGGGUGAAUUAUUGGAGACAAGGGUGCUGAGCCAGGAAGAGAUAGAGAUAGUAAAAUGUGAAAAUGCUACAGUUAUGGAUAAGGCCCGAGCUUUGCUUGACUCUGUUAUUCGGAAAGGGGCUCCAGCAUGCCAAAUUUGCAUCACAUACAUUUGUGAAGAAGACAGUCACCUGGCAGGGACGCUGGGACUCUCAGCAGGUCCAACAUCUGGAAAUCACCUUACUACACAAGAUUCUCAAAUAGUACUUCCUUCCUAGGUUCAACUUUCAUUUGAGCAGCCAGAUGAUAAAGCACAGAUGCCCAGCACUGAAAGAGUUACUUCGACAAGACGUUUCUAUCUCUUCCCAGUACAUUAAAAUAAGGAAGCUGUAUG
This 466-nucleotide long non-coding RNA is filed under the name Homo sapiens (human). Its description in RNAcentral is "novel transcript". The record is from RNAcentral. Lineage: Eukaryota; Metazoa; Chordata; Mammalia; Primates; Hominidae.